GCGAGUAUAAGUUAAUUGGUAAACUCACCCGCUUCCAACGGGUAAUAAUAGGUUCGAGUCCUAUUACUCGCA
Non-coding RNA from Piptocephalis cylindrospora, 72 nucleotides. The record is from the annotation of a GenBank genome assembly. Lineage: Eukaryota; Fungi; Zoopagomycota; Zoopagomycetes; Zoopagales; Piptocephalidaceae.